AUUGCCGAAAUAUAAUGAUUCAAAAUCUUCAUAGCUUUAACAGAGGACAGAUAUUAUGAAUCUGCUUAUUUCUCCUACAAUAUAAUCAAUGAGACAAGAUGCGAGUGAAAGUUCUGGAUAAGCGACAAGAACGGUAAACGAUAAAAAAUUACUUUUUACUUUACACGACGAUAUCUCGGGAACUGGAAACUAUAUCGAAAUAAAUGAAAGAGAAUUUUAAAGAGCAAGGAUCCCCGUUUUUAAUGAUUUUUCACUCAUUGAUCUAGGAUUAUUAUCUUUGAAGUUAUAGCGAUUUAAAGUUUUUCUAAUUUUAAUUGAAUUUCUAAGGUAUGUUAGCGAUAACUCUCCGAAAAAUUAUCUUCUUUGCAUAUCGAUAUCUCAGGAA
Molecule: long non-coding RNA, 385 nt
Organism: Apis dorsata (giant honeybee)
Lineage: Eukaryota; Metazoa; Arthropoda; Insecta; Hymenoptera; Apidae
Exons: 3
Source: RefSeq, a predicted model, not a curated record